This 465-nucleotide ribosomal RNA is filed under the name uncultured bacterium. Its description in RNAcentral is "partial 16S ribosomal RNA". It matches the Rfam family "Bacterial small subunit ribosomal RNA", at positions 28 to 507 of the family's 1533-position model. The record is from RNAcentral.
GAUGAACGCUGGCGGCGUGCUUAACACAUGCAAGUCGAACGGAAAGGCUCCUGCUUGCAGGGGUACUCGAGUGGCGAGCGGGUGAGUAACACGUGGGUGAUCUGCCCUGCACUUCGGGAUAAGCCUGGGAAACUGGGUCUAAUACCGGAUAGGACCACAUUUUGGAUGGUGUGGUGGAAAGUUUUUCGGUGUGGGAUGAGCUCGCGGCCUAUCAGCUUGUUGGUGGGGUAAUGGCCUACCAAGGCGUCGACGGGUAGCCGGCCUGAGAGGGUGUACGGCCACAUUGGGACUGAGAUACGGCCCAGACUCCUACGGGAGGCAGCAGUGGGGAAUAUUGCACAAUGGGCGCAAGCCUGAUGCAGCGACGCCGCGUGGGGGAUGACGGCCUUCGGGUUGUAAACUCCUUUCGCUAGGGACGAAGCGCAAGUGACGGUACCUGGAGAAGAAGCACCGGCUAACUACGUG